AACGAACGCUGGCGGCAUGCCUAACACAUGCAAGUCGAACGAGACCUUCGGGUCUAGUGGCGCACGGGUGCGUAACGCGUGGGAACCUGCCCUUAGGUUCGGAAUAACUCCCCGAAAGGGGUGCUAAUACCGGAUAAUGUCUUCGGACCAAAGAUUUAUCGCCGUUGGAUGGGCCCGCGUUGGAUUAGCUAGUUGGUAGGGUAAAAGCCUAACAAGGCGACGAUCCAUAGCUGGUCUGAGAGGAUGAUCAGCCACACUGGGACUGAGACACGGCCCAGACUCCUACGGGAGGCAGCAGUGGGGAAUAUUGGACAAUGGGCGAAAGCCUGAUCCAGCAAUGCCGCGUGAGUGAUGAAGGCCUUAGGGUUGUAAAGCUCUUUUACCCGGGAUGAUAAUGACAGUACCGGGAGAAUAAGCUCCGGCUAACUCCGUG
This 433-nucleotide ribosomal RNA is filed under the name uncultured bacterium. Its description in RNAcentral is "partial 16S ribosomal RNA". It matches the Rfam family "Bacterial small subunit ribosomal RNA", at positions 29 to 507 of the family's 1533-position model. The record is from RNAcentral.